CACAUGCAAGUCGAGCGGCAGCGGAAAGUAGCUUGCUACUUUGCCGGCGAGCGGCGGACGGGUGAGUAAUGUCUGGGGAUCUGCCUGAUGGAGGGGGAUAACUACUGGAAACGGUAGCUAAUACCGCAUGACCUCGAAAGAGCAAAGUGGGGGACCUUCGGGCCUCACGCCAUCGGAUGAACCCAGAUGGGAUUAGCUAGUAGGUGGGGUAAUGGCUCACCUAGGCGACGAUCCCUAGCUGGUCUGAGAGGAUGACCAGCCACACUGGAACUGAGACACGGUCCAGACUCCUACGGGAGGCAGCAGUGGGGAAUAUUGCACAAUGGGCGCAAGCCUGAUGCAGCCAUGCCGCGUGUGUGAAGAAGGCCUUCGGGUUGUAAAGCACUUUCAGCGAGGAGGAAGGCAGUCGUGUUAAUAGCACGAUUGAUUGACGUUACU
RNAcentral lists this ribosomal RNA (438 nucleotides) under Yersinia frederiksenii. RNAcentral describes it as "bacterial SSU rRNA". It matches the Rfam family "Bacterial small subunit ribosomal RNA", at positions 52 to 479 of the family's 1533-position model. The record is from RNAcentral. Lineage: Bacteria; Pseudomonadati; Pseudomonadota; Gammaproteobacteria; Enterobacterales; Yersiniaceae.